RNAcentral lists this ribosomal RNA (445 nucleotides) under uncultured soil bacterium. RNAcentral's name for it is "bacterial SSU rRNA". It matches the Rfam family "Bacterial small subunit ribosomal RNA", at positions 26 to 518 of the family's 1533-position model. The record is from RNAcentral.
AGAGCGAACGCUGGCGGCAGGCCUAACACAUGCAAGUCGAACGGACCCUUCGGGGUUAGUGGCGGACGGGUGAGUAACACGUGGGAACGUGCCUUUUGGUUCGGAAUAGCUCCUGGAAACGGGUGGUAAUGCCGAAUGUGCCCUUCGGGGGAAAGAUUUAUCGCCAUUAGAGCGGCCCGCGUCUGAUUAGCUAGUUGGUAAGGUAAUGGCUUACCAAGGCGACGAUCAGUAGCUGGUCUGAGAGGAUGACCAGCCACAUUGGGACUGAGACACGGCCCAAACUCCUACGGGAGGCAGCAGUGGGGAAUCUUGCGCAAUGGGCGAAAGCCUGACGCAGCCAUGCCGCGUGAAUGAUGAAGGUCUUAGGAUUGUAAAAUUCUUUCACCGGGACGAUAAUGACGGUACCCGGAGAAGAAGCCCCGGCUAACUUCGUGCCAGCAGCCGC